This is a long non-coding RNA of Leptidea sinapis, 718 nucleotides long. RefSeq lists it as uncharacterized. The record is from RefSeq and is a predicted model, not a curated record. The transcript has 3 exons. Lineage: Eukaryota; Metazoa; Arthropoda; Insecta; Lepidoptera; Pieridae.
UUGAAUCAUUGAUUGUAUGAAAUAUGAAUAUUUUUCAGUAAACACAAGAAGUGUUAGAGUUAAAAUAUUGUUUGUUAACAAGACAGUAAAAGAGUAAAGACAUUAAAAGUACAUACUCAUAGUGAUAAUUGUAUAUUAUUAUUGAAAUAAUAUAAUUUAUCAUUAUGUAUUAUGUAAAAUAAAAACUAUGGACAUCAUUGGAAAUGAAAAUAACACUCGAAAAAAAGGAAAAAACAAAAAAAAGUCUAGUCCCCAAAAAUAUUUAAAGAAAAACCGUUUAGUAACAAGACCAAAAGCAGGCCCGAAUGUGAUUUUUGUUAAAAAGAAAAUGAGUUAUAAGGUUCUGCUUCAGAAAAGCUGUGAUUUGUUAAUUAAAGAAAAUUGUAUAAUAUUACAUGCUAUGGGUUCUGCUAUAAACAGAUGCUGUUUUCUAACUAUGGAUAUAGAAAAAGCUUUUCCUGGAAAAUGCAAAGUAGAAACGAACACAGGAACUGUAGAUCUAGCAGAUAAUCUAGAACCAGUUUCUGAUGAUGUGGACUUUGGUGCACAAGUAAGGAAUUGCUUUAGAAUACACAUGAAAAUCACAAAAGAUACAAUAUCUGAAACAUCACAUUCUUUAAGUUAAAAUAAUAUGUUAUCUUCUCUUGUACCUUGGCUAAGUGUUUCAAGGACAAUAUUAUAAAAUAAAAUCUGAUUCAAAUACAACAAUCAAAUUUAA